Molecule: long non-coding RNA, 2860 nt
Organism: Physcomitrium patens
Lineage: Eukaryota; Viridiplantae; Streptophyta; Bryopsida; Funariales; Funariaceae
Source: RefSeq, a predicted model, not a curated record
CCUCCCAACUAAAUUUUCAACAACUACAUUCAUUUAUUCACAAUUUUUCUAGUAAAGAAAAUAAAAUCUACGUCCUAUAUCAAGACAAAUGUAUAAGAAUGAAAUUUAUACUGUUUUGGGGGUGCAUCCCGAAUACAACGACUGUAAUUUCCAUUUACUUAUCAAGACAGUCAAAUCUCGAGCCUGUUAAUUUCCUCCAAUCUAAUUCCAUGCAUUCAUUUUAAUUUAUGACCUGUGCUGUUUUACAUGUUUUACAGUACCCUUCUCUGCAUUCAGGAAACAGUAGCGGAGACAUCUAAGAUUAUAACUAACAAAAGACGAGCAAGUCUUCCUAGAUACACAAGCACGAAGGAAUGAGAAAACAUAUAUUAUUAAAUUGCCCAUUUGAAAUAAGAAAAAAAGAGGUGGAAACUACGACCCUUCGUGGAGUUUCAUGCAACCGCACUGCUAUCGUCAAAAGAGUCAAGAUUCUUCGAAGCCACAAGCUUCACGUCUUCUCGCCGAUGAAGAGGGAAAUGGGUAUUAAAAGAUUCGAAGCACAUUGUCCGUCUCCUGGCAUGGAAGUAGUCACAUUUCGUUCACACCAGAUAUUUUUUGUUUUCCACGGUUGCAUACACCGUGUUAUCCUUUGUAUUUGUGACAGGUGAACAGCUACGACCACGAAGGCACGUGACUGGGCUUUGAGGAAUGGAGUUGGAGGGACAGAAGACCCAACUGCUUUUGACUUGCUACUGGGGGAGCUGAGGAUUAGCACGCAUCUCCCAACGCCCACGAGACAAAACUGGCGUCUUUGCAACGAAAAAGCCUCUCACGAUUAGCCACCGUGGGAGCGAGGAUUCCUCCGCCAUGGUGGCAAAGGAGAGCCUCACCGAAGCAAAUGCUGCAGUGUAGACACGGCAAACGCUCCUCUCCUCCCCCAAGGAACUCGUUGGAGAAGAGAGCAAGCACAAACAAAUAUAUUUACACGAAGCACGUUUCCGGAUGCGCCUUGCAGGGAUCAAUCAUUGGCGUCUCGGAGUCUACGCCCAACUCGGACGAACGAUCGUCAGCCGACACAUCCUUCUCCGUCAAUGAAGCCUUGUGCUCUCGGUUGCAGGUGAUGGCGUCCCAGUCGAUGCUAUGCAUACCCGGUGUUGAUGGGGCGGAUAUCAAACGUUUUCAUCGCCCUCGGGUGGGGGCGUCCCAGCCGAUGAUGCUGUGCAUACCCGGGCGUUAUGAUGCGGUGGAUAUCAAACAUUUUCAUGGCCCUCUUGUGAGUAGUUUUAAUUUUUAACUUUUUAAUUUAAUUUUAUUUUUAAGCUUUGCAAUUGACAGUUGAUAGGGUUUCUAUUUGUUGUGUCUUUUAUGGAACUGGGAUGUGGUGUGGUGGAGAUAUAGACUUGUAGGAGGGGAGCCUACAUGUGGUCACAUAGUCAUGCAGAAAUCAAUAUCAAUGUCUCUGUUUUUUGUUCCGUGCUUCUUGUUAUGUUUUAUUUUAUUUCAUUUGCUGGGUUUGUCCAGACUCUUGGCUAUCACACACUGUGCAGUAGUCAAUCAUAAUCUGGAGAUUUUAAGGGUGCAAAAGUGAAAGCUGGUGAUUUCUUAAUUGGCAGUCUAACUGAUGCUGACCUUCAAUGGAUAGAAGAACCAAACCUGACCAUAAUUUAAACAAAAUUAAAGUGAACUCCAUCACAGACUCACAUUACUGUCCAUGUAAAAUUCACAACACUUUUGAAUAUCACAUUCUGUGCUUGCUUGAGACAACACAAACCACUGAAGAUUAUUUGGUGACACUGACUUGUAUUUAUAAGAGUGCCUUCAUCUUUUGUUAUACUAAUACGCUACCAUGAUGCAAACAGACAAAAAGGUUCCAUGGAUGUUGCGGGAUUAGAGUUAGACAGGAGAGAUGCUUUAUGCUCUGCAACCUAUUCAAAUGAAUUGGUUUGGGUUUAGUUUAUUUUUUCUUCUACUUCAUGUAGAUUUGUUGAGGGAGCUUCUGACUGUGAAAUUUUAUAAUGCUCCUGGUCCCCAAUGGUCCUAAACAGUCCAAAGGGUUGGAAGAGUGACAGGUUGGUACUGUACAGUGGGCAGUUCAAAUCCUAAUAGUGGGUGGAUCUAGAGAACCCCAUUGCAAAAAUUAUGUUAGAGCAUUUCCAGAUGGAAAUUGAGUUCCACAGGAUAAAGCCAAAUUGUAUGUGUUUGGGAUUGAAAGGGACCAACCCCCAAUACCAGUGUAUCCUUUUCCCAUGAGGUUUGGCCACUAUGAAAGCAGCAUAGAUAAUAGAAAAAUUGAGGGGUGAUGUGGAAAAACACCACACAAACGUUCAAAGCCACUUCUUUUUACCUGAAACCAAAACUAUAAAAUAACAAUAAUAAUUUUUACUACUAUGGGGUUAUUACAGUGAGGCCUAGCUGGGAGCAGCUUUUUUUCAGUUUUGAUAUCUGUUGACCACAACUGUAAAAAAAUAAUAAAUAAAAAAAUACAUAUUAAAUGUGAAUGUUGAUAAAAAAUAAUGAAAUGUGAUGUUUAACUUGGUAUUGGGCCAAAGCAGCGUCCCAGUAACAGUCUUCAGGAUUCCUCUGCAGCUUCCAAAGACUAGAAACAAACAAACAAAAAAAACAAAACAAAACGAAACAAAGCCACAAGCAUGGCAACAGGGAAGCAACAAUUGGAUUUGGAGUUCAUCAAAUUCUGCCAAAUGCUGCACCAAUGUGAGAAAAUUGUGCUCCACAACUUUGUAAUUAAAUCUUUAUUUCUUAAAGCAAAAGAUGGCAAUGGCACAACACAUAUUCAAGUUUUGGAACUUUCAUAAAUCUAGGGAAGGAUACAAAGCAAGUUUUAGGUUGAUCAGUUAAUACAAAAAAUUCUCUUCCAAGCUUA